Molecule: ribosomal RNA, 322 nt
Filed under: uncultured eukaryote
Lineage: Eukaryota
Description: partial 18S ribosomal RNA
Rfam family: Eukaryotic small subunit ribosomal RNA
Source: RNAcentral
CCCUUAGAUGUUCUGGGCCGCACGCGUGCUACACUGAGUGGAUCAGCGGGUCAGGUUGCGCGAAAGUGUUUCCUAAUCUUGAAAUCCGCUCGUGAUGGGGAUUGACGGUUGCAAUUUUCCGUCAUGAACGAGGAAUACCUUGUAAGCGCGGGUCAUCAUCCCGCGCUGAAUACGUCCCUGCCCUUUGUACACACCGCCCGUCGCUCCUACCGAUUGAGUGGCCCGGUGAGGCUUUGGGAUCUGAGCAAAGAGAGCGUUUCGCUCGUUUUGCCCGGAAAACUCAGUCGAACCUUAUCAUUUAGAGGAAGGAGAAGUCGUAACA